RNAcentral lists this ribosomal RNA (465 nucleotides) under uncultured bacterium. Its description in RNAcentral is "partial 16S ribosomal RNA". It matches the Rfam family "Bacterial small subunit ribosomal RNA", at positions 338 to 795 of the family's 1533-position model. The record is from RNAcentral.
CCUACGGGGGGCAGCAGUGGGGAAUAUUGCGCAAUGGGCGAAAGCCUGACGCAGCGACGCCGCGUGAGGGAUGACGGUCUUCGGAUCGUAAACCUCUGUCAGCAGGGAAGAACGGUCACUGUGCUAAUCAGCAGUGAAUUGACGGUACCUGCAAAGGAAGCACCGGCUAACUCCGUGCAAGCAGCCGCGGUAAGACGGAGGGUGCGAGCGUUAAUCGGAAUUACUGGGCGUAAAGCGCGCGUAGGCGGUAUCUCAAGUCAAGGGUGAAAUCCCCGGGGUCAACGUGGGAACUGCCUUUGAUACGGGCAAACUGGAGUGUGUGAGAGGAUAGUGGAAUUCCAGGUGUAGGAGUGAAAUCCGUAGAUAUCAGGAGGAACAUCAGUGGCGAAGGCGACUAUCUGGCACAUAACUGACGCUGAGGAGCGAAAGCGUGGGUAGCAAACAGGAUUAGAUACCCGAGUAGUC